This 301-nucleotide ribosomal RNA is filed under the name uncultured bacterium. RNAcentral's name for it is "partial 16S ribosomal RNA". It matches the Rfam family "Bacterial small subunit ribosomal RNA", at positions 509 to 807 of the family's 1533-position model. The record is from RNAcentral.
CAGCAGCCACGGGAAUACGGAGGGUGCAAGCGUUAAUCGGAAUUACUGGGCGUAAAGCGCACGCAGGCGGUCUGACAAGUCAGAUGUGAAAUCCCCGGGCUUAACCUGGGAACUGCAUUUGAAACUGUCAGGCUGGAGUCUUGUAGAGGGGGGUAGAAUUCCAGGUGUAGCGGUGAAAUGCGUAGAGAUCUGGAGGAAUACCGGUGGCGAAGGCGGCCCCCUGGACAAAGACUGACGCUCAGGUGCGAAAGCGUGGGGAGCAAACAGGAUUAGAUACCUGUGUAGUCCCUGUCUCUUAUAC